AAGUCGUAACAAGGUUUCCGUAGGUGAACCUGCGGAAGGAUCAUCAAUGAAAAUUUUAUUUUUUAAAAAAAAACUAGUAUACUAUGUUCUAUAGUAGCUUUGUUUUUUUUUUCCCAGUUGCUUUAUUUACUCAAGUAAAUGAAGAAAAAACAAACAUUUCUAGUAUAAGUGGGCGGCACUUAGACCAGAAAAAUUAUUUUUUACUAUAAAAAAACCGACCAAAAAAACAACUUUCGGCAACGGAUCUCUCGGCUCUCC
This 258-nucleotide unclassified non-coding RNA is filed under the name fungal sp. RNAcentral describes it as "partial internal transcribed spacer region". The stretch from base 1 to 46 matches the Rfam family "Eukaryotic small subunit ribosomal RNA", at positions 1786 to 1831 of the family's 1831-position model. The record is from RNAcentral. Lineage: Eukaryota; Fungi.